CCCAGUCUCUUUGCUGAAUCUCCUGACGGUAUUCACCCCUUUGAAAAUGCUCUGUGAGCCAGAGCUGAAGUAGCAAAUUGCAGCCUUCGAAGUGUUUGCCUCCUUGUUGACACUUCUCCAAGGCUCGGUAUAUUUUUGCAAUGAUCAUGUGAACAAUAUUAAAUGGUUGCCCACCAAUUCCUUCCUUUAGAGUAUUAGUUACCAUAGCCAGCCUAGAGUGGAUCCUUGCUUUCUUCAUUGGAAACACUAUCAUCCCCAGGAAACAAAACAUAAAG
RNAcentral lists this long non-coding RNA (275 nucleotides) under Nicotiana benthamiana. RNAcentral describes it as "long non-coding RNA (NBEN_LNC035366)". Lineage: Eukaryota; Viridiplantae; Streptophyta; Magnoliopsida; Solanales; Solanaceae. The record is from RNAcentral.